Molecule: RNA transcript, 2770 nt
Organism: Piliocolobus tephrosceles (Ugandan red Colobus)
Lineage: Eukaryota; Metazoa; Chordata; Mammalia; Primates; Cercopithecidae
Exons: 2
Source: RefSeq, a predicted model, not a curated record
UAGUGAACCAAUAUUCAUUCAUUAUUAUUAAAUAAAGUCUAUCAUUUAGUUUAAGGUUUAUUCUCUGUGUCAUACAGUUCUGUGGGUUUUGACGCAUGCAGGUCAGUAUCCACCAUUUCAGUAUCCUACAGAAGAGUUUCAGCAUUUAUCUUGUGUGCUUGUCAGCCCCUACCAUCGUAUGCUCCUGCCUGCAGCUUUUUUUUCCUUGUUUCUUUAUUUUUCAUAUGUGAGCCUAACACAAGCCUUCCUUUAUGCUCUGUACCCCUCCUCCACAUGUUUAUAAACUCUCAUAAACAUCAUGGGAUACACCAUCCUAUACUUAACCAUGCCCCUAAUGUUGGACAUUCAUGUCUAUGACAAGUGUUCACUUAUCAUAUAGGAUAUUUUAAACUCAUUUCAUGGAAAAAGAUUUCCAGGAUCCAGAUAGCAUUCAGGGGAAAAAAAUUAUUUAGAAAGAAACAGCAUUGUGUGGUGUCCCCCAGCACCUCCCAGACAAAGGGCUUUUGUCUGAAGGUUGGAGGCCUCUGCUGUCUUGGCCUAGUGAGUGCCAGUUUCCGCGUGGCUGCCCCGCACCCUUGGGAAGGCUGUAGGGGGACAGUGCUGGCCGGGGUCUUAGCUUCCCUGCUCCUGCAGGAGGACUGGGCUUCCUCAUUCAUUCCCUUCUUACUCUCAUCCAUCAGUGCCUUUAAACUGAAACCUGGAACUAUGGUAUUCUCUUUGGCUCUUAGAACGGGUUGGCUUAACGGGGGAAAUAUUAAUAGCACUGGUGUCGGCGGAAGUGACCUUGAGCUACAUAGGAAGAUUUUGAUAAAACGUGUCACUCCUGUUACCUAUCAGGAUCAAACUGCAUCAUGGAAGCUGCACACGAUGACACCCUGUCCGGAAAGUUUUUGCCAGAGGGCAAAAGACUGCAAGCAGAAUAUCCCUUCACCAUUUCUCAUUCAGGCCCGGCCGUUGUCUGAAAGCAAACCUCAAGGACAGGACUUUUUGGACUCCGCAGCCACUCCAGGCUGCUGCUCCACCACAUGAAGUCCAGCAGGUGGCGGUGCACCCCGCGCGGACCCGGCUUGCCUGUCUUGGCCCAGGGAGUCGGUUUGAUGCGCAGUCGGGAAGUGGGUCUGCACGCACCUCGCUGCAGCUGUGGCAAACGCAAGCGAUGACACACAGGCUUGACGAGGGCCUUUGUCAGAAGCAAUGGGGAUUUGGCGUCACCGCACAAUGGAAAACAAAGUGCUUCUGCCUGGCUGGCCAGAAUGCACGUUUGCUCACUAUUGAUGCCGGGGCAUUUACAGGCAGAAUGAGUUCAUGUGAAAUUUCAGGGUCUGCCAUGACUCAGAUUCACUUUCUGUAAACCAGAGUCAACAUUACAUUUCCCUUUACUCUGAGCCAUUCCUUGAAUUUUUGGGUCACCAGUUGCUAACCGAAGGGAUUUGAGUAUUUCUUAUGCACCUUAUUUUUAUUAUUAUUUUUAGGGCAUUACCAAUUUGGGACGGAUCUGUAGUGUGAGAGAUGGUUGUCACUCUUAGCUCCAAACAUAGAUUGGCUUUAUAUAUUAUUUACAUGUUCAGAAUUAUAUUGUGUAGAAAUUCAAGUGAAACUUGCAAAAUACUUUUCUGGCAGGAAGCCCUGGAGAGGAUCGUUCAUGGAAACAAGGAUGACGAGUGUGGUAAGAAGUACAGGUGACUCGUGAGUGGGCAGGCAGUGGAAGAGAAGAUGGCUGGAAGGUUUUAGCAUUCAGAAAAAAAUGGAGACAACUAGAGUUGAUCUGAAGAUUAUGGCAGAAUUCAAUAUUGGGGCAAAGAAACAAGAUGGGGGUUAGAAAUUAGAAACAGCAGAGCUCCGCAGGUUGGAAAGGAUUUGAGCAAGAGAACAAAAAGGAGCCUGCUAAUAGCACCCUGGGUUUACAGCAAGAGAAGCACCUGGAGAGAAUUAACUCGGGAGGAGGUGGGGGCAUGGGAAACCUUUUCAUCUCCAAGAGUGGGCAGGAACAGCAGCUGGCCUGAACUUGAAGGUACACCAGGUAGCUUGCCUGGGCCAGGAGAAGGUGAUUCUCUUCUAUACCUCUCUCCAACGCCCCGCUUCUGAUGCUGCUCCUCUACCCAUAUUGAGGGGAAGAUAUAUCCCUAAGAAGUUCCCUGCACCCCAUUUCUUGUUCUGGCUAACUGGUCCCCUAGGAAUUUUUCUCCUAAUUUUCAUUUCCCCUUCUCACCUGGUGAAAUCUUAAAUCUUACUGUUCAAUAAAAGUUCUUCUACCAAAAUUUCUAUACCACGUUGAAUUCUUUGUGUUUCCUUUGUUUUUAAAACUUCCUGGGGAGUUUUACUUAGAAAAAAAAAAGCCUCUGGGGACUAGAUAAGGAAGAAAACCUUCAUGUGGACCCUCUUGAGCUCUGUUUUCUUUCCUGGCCUCACUGGUGUGGGCUCUCUGACUGCCCUACUGAUCUCUUGCUUUACUGGAUUUGGGUGAGGACUGAGGAGAGGGACAGGAGGGUAUUCACUGGAUACUAUUCAGACUAAAGGAUUAGAUGUCCCAGGUGAGUAAGCAAGAAAGCAAACACAUAAACAAACAAAACUUCUGAACGUUUUCAAUCCAAGUGGAGCAGAAUUUAGCUUUUUCAGCUAAACUGCCCCACCCCUGGCACCCAGGGAAAAUGGUGCUCGUAUUGUAAUAUGUUCUCACAGAUGCAUGCAACAUUAUGAGUAAUUUUUGCCUUGUGAUGUAAAUUCUUUUUUCCUCACUCUGGAAAACAUAUUGUAGCUGGAAAAAAAAAAA